GAUGAACGCUGGCGGCGUGCCUAAUACAUGCAAGUCGAACGAGUUCUCGUUGAUGAUCGGUGCUUGCACCGAGAUUCAACAUGGAACGAGUGGCGGACGGGUGAGUAACACGUGGGUAACCUGCCCUUAAGUGGGGGAUAACAUUUGGAAACAGAUGCUAAUACCGCAUAGAUCCAAGAACCGCAUGGUUCUUGGCUGAAAGAUGGCGUAAGCUAUCGCUUUUGGAUGGACCCGCGGCGUAUUAGCUAGUUGGUGAGGUAAUGGCUCACCAAGGCGAUGAUACGUAGCCGAACUGAGAGGUUGAUCGGCCACAUUGGGACUGAGACACGGCCCAAACUCCUACGGGAGGCAGCAGUAGGGAAUCUUCCACAAUGGACGCAAGUCUGAUGGAGCAACGCCGCGUGAGUGAAGAAGGCUUUCGGGUCGUAAAACUCUGUUGUUGGAGAAGAAUGGUCGGCAGAGUAACUGUUGUCGGCGUGACGGUAUCCAACCAGAAAGCCACGGCUAACUACGUGCCAGCAGCCGCGGUAAUACGUAGGUGGCAAGCGUUAUCCGGAUUUAUUGGGCGUAAAGCGAGCGCAGGCGGUUUUUUAAGUCUGAUGUGAAAGCCCUCGGCUUAACCGAGGAAGCGCAUCGGAAACUGGGAAACUUGAGUGCAGAAGAGGACAGUGGAACUCCAUGUGUAGCGGUGAAAUGCGUAGAUAUAUGGAAGAACACCAGUGGCGAAGGCGGCUGUCUGGUCUGUAACUGACGCUGAGGCUCGAAAGCAUGGGUAGCGAACAGGAUUAGAUACCCUGGUAGUCCAUGCCGUAAACGAUGAAUGCUAGGUGUUGGAGGGUUUCCGCCCUUCAGUGCCGCAGCUAACGCAUUAAGCAUUCCGCCUGGGGAGUACGACCGCAAGGUUGAAACUCAAAGGAAUUGACGGGGGCCCGCACAAGCGGUGGAGCAUGUGGUUUAAUUUGAAGCAACGCGAAGAACCUUACCAGGUCUUGACAUCUUUUGAUCACCUGAGAGAUCAGGUUUCCCCUUCGGGGGCAAAAUGACAGGUGGUGCAUGGUUGUCGUCAGCUCGUGUCGUGAGAUGUUGGGUUAAGUCCCGCAACGAGCGCAACCCUUAUGACUAGUUGCCAGCAUUUAGUUGGGCACUCUAGUAAGACUGCCGGUGACAAACCGGAGGAAGGUGGGGAUGACGUCAAAUCAUCAUGCCCCUUAUGACCUGGGCUACACACGUGCUACAAUGGAUGGUACAACGAGUUGCGAGACCGCGAGGUCAAGCUAAUCUCUUAAAGCCAUUCUCAGUUCGGACUGUAGGCUGCAACUCGCCUACACGAAGUCGGAAUCGCUAGUAAUCGCGGAUCAGCACGCCGCGGUGAAUACGUUCCCGGGCCUUGUACACACCGCCCGUCACACCAUGAGAGUUUGUAACACCCGAAGCCGGUGGCGUAACCCUUUUAGGGAGCGAGCCGUCUAAGGUGGGACAAAUGAUUAGGGUG
Molecule: ribosomal RNA, 1492 nt
Filed under: Lacticaseibacillus casei
Lineage: Bacteria; Bacillati; Bacillota; Bacilli; Lactobacillales; Lactobacillaceae
Description: bacterial SSU rRNA
Rfam family: Bacterial small subunit ribosomal RNA
Source: RNAcentral